CAGUCGCCACGGGAAUACGAAGGGUGCAAGCGUUAAUCGGAAUUACUGGGCGUAAAGCGUGCGUAGGCGGUCUGUUAAGUCUGUUGUGAAAUCCCCGGGCUCAACCUGGGAAUGGCAAUGGAUACUGGCAAGCUAGAGUGUGUCAGAGGAUGGUGGAAUUCCCGGCGUAGCGGUGAAAUGCGUAGAGAUCGGGAGGAACAUCAGUGGCGAAGGCGGCCAUCUGGGACAACACUGACGCUGAGGCACGAAAGCGUGGGAAGCAAACAGGAUUAGAUACCCCAGUAGUCCCUGUCUCUUAUAC
This 301-nucleotide ribosomal RNA is filed under the name uncultured bacterium. RNAcentral describes it as "partial 16S ribosomal RNA". It matches the Rfam family "Bacterial small subunit ribosomal RNA", at positions 509 to 807 of the family's 1533-position model. The record is from RNAcentral.